This 253-nucleotide ribosomal RNA is filed under the name uncultured bacterium. RNAcentral's name for it is "partial 16S ribosomal RNA". It matches the Rfam family "Bacterial small subunit ribosomal RNA", at positions 524 to 776 of the family's 1533-position model. The record is from RNAcentral.
UACGGGGGGAGCAAGCGUUGUUCGGAUUUACUGGGCGUAAAGGGCGCGUAGGCGGCGUAACAAGUCACUUGUGAAAUCUCCGGGCUUAACUCGGAGCGGUCAAGUGAUACUGUUGUGCUAGAGUGCGGAAGGGGCUACUGGAAUUCUCGGUGUAGCGGUGAAAUGCGCAGAUAUCGGGAGGAACACCAGUAGCGAAGGCGGCUCGCUGGGCCAUUCCGUGACGCUGAGACGCGAAAGCUAGGGAGCGAACAGG